GAUGAACGCUGGCGGCGUGCCUAAUACAUGCAAGUCGAGCGAACGGACGAGAAGCUUGCUUCUCUGAUGUUAGCGGCGGACGGGUGAGUAACACGUGGAUAACCUACCUAUAAGACUGGGAUAACUUCGGGAAACCGGAGCUAAUACCGGAGAAUAUUUUGAACCGCAUGGUUCAAAAGUGAAAGACGGUCUUGCUGUCACUUAUAGAUGGAUCCGCGCUGCAUUAGCUAGUUGGUAAGGUAACGGCCUACCAAGGCAACGAUGCGUAGCCGACCUGAGAGGGUGAUCGGCCACACUGGAACUGAGACACGGUCCAGACUCCUACGGGAGGCAGCAGUCGGGAAUCUUCCGCAAUGGGCGAAAGCCUGACGGAGCAACGCCGCGUGAGUGAUGACGGUCUUCGGAUCGUAAAACUCUGUUAUUAGGUAAGAACAUAUGUGUAAGUAACUGUGCACAUCUUGACGGUACCUAAUCAGAAAGCCCCGGCUAACUACGUG
RNAcentral lists this ribosomal RNA (497 nucleotides) under uncultured bacterium. Its description in RNAcentral is "partial 16S ribosomal RNA". It matches the Rfam family "Bacterial small subunit ribosomal RNA", at positions 28 to 507 of the family's 1533-position model. The record is from RNAcentral.